UACAAUAAAACACAAUUAAAAUACAUGUAAUUUCUUGCUAUUUUCUGAAGGUCAUAAAUAUAUGCAAUUUCUUUGUAAAAUAUUCUGCAUCAUAUCUCAAAGGAGAUGCUUAUUAACAAUUUAGACCUAAAAGGAUAGACACUAAAACAUUAGAAGUGGCUAGAGAAUGCUUGACAAUUACAGUUUAAGGUGAAAAAGUAUCUUGAAACAACGCAAAGACCUGUUUGAGAGGAAUGCUGAAAACAAAUUGGAUACUUAAAGUUUAUUAAUUUAAUAUGGCCCCCUUAUAGACUAUUACAUUUCCUUACAUUAAAAUACUUGCUUAAUAAGUAACAAUAAAGCGUUAAUUUGUGCUUCACUUUAAUCUGUUUCAGACAGUAUAGGAUUAAAGAAUAUCCACCUUUACUUCAGAGACUUGAACAUUUGCAGGGUCUUUGACUUUUAACUUAUUGCUUGUGCUUGUCAAACUUAUAUCUGUGAGAAAUGGAAUAUGCAGAUAAAAAUUACGCAUGUUUUUCACGAAUUAAUUUCACGCUAACAUCUUACAGAUAUUCAUAAAUUUGGAAUGGUGAUAUUCUAAAGUAGAAAAUACAAGAAUAGAAAUUUGUAGGUUAAUUUCUAUAUGGAAUUGUACAGAACGCAUAUUUCCUUGUAUAGAGGUUACAAAAGCUAUUGUAGCGUAACCCAGGACUGUACCUGUUAUCCUAUCAUGAAUCAUACAUUAGCUGAGUUUUAAAUUUUGCAUAUUUUUCUCCUCAAAAGAUAAAUCACAGGACAGUUCACUUUUGUUAUAUUAGCAGCUUAAUAAUGAUUAGAAAUGAGAACCACAAAUGUACAUCUGUGGGUCUGAGCAUUGGAAGACGUUGAUGUACAUAUUACUUGUCGAUGUAAGGAAAAUAAAUAUUAAAUGUAACUCAUACUAGUGAGAUAAGAAUGUUUGCAAAAUAUUUCUAGAAGUGUUAUAGGCAUCUUCUUUUUAUUUAAUAUAACUUUGGAAUUGCUUACUUUGAGUCUUAUCAGUUGCCUUGGAUUUUUUUCUCUAUGAUAGCUAGUGCUAAAUCUGUAAGUUGAAAUCUUGUUUCUCUUUCCCCUUCUUUAGAAACAAAUUAAUCAGUGGCAUAAUCAUCAUAUAUGCUUCUCAUUAGAGCAAUACAGAAAUACCUGGGAGUUGACGCCCAAUUUUCACAGCAACGUAAAGAGUGGAUCUCUGACGCUUUCUCAUAAAUGGUGAUCGGUAAAAACUAGACACAAGAGAAAGAAGAAUGUGGACCUGAGUAUACUAUCUGCUAGUUGACUCCCCUUUUCUCUUCCCCUUCUCUCUUUUUCAUACAUCUGUUACUCCUGGUUUUUAUUCCGUUCUUACGUUAAUUUAAAUGAUUGCUAUGAUUAGCAAUACUGGAUGCCACUUCAGUUGAUUCAAUAAAAUGUUUUGUUUCUCUCCCUGCUCAGGAAGGGAAACUUAAAAUGACAAAUGUUUCAGAAACAAAGGAACUUCUUAUUGUACUAUAUUAGCACAGUUAUAGAUAAACACUGAUUUUCUUAAAGUUGUUGUUUCCCCCAUGUGUUUUUUAACUUUUAUUAAACCUGUUUGUGAUAUAUAUGCAGUAUAUAAGCUCAUCCCCAAAGAAAAAUUGCUGCAUUGAAUCGCCUGUAUAUAGGGCUGCCUAUAUUUCUCCAAAAUUAGAAAAUUCUGCAUCCAGCUUUCUUACAGAAGUGAAGAAAACAAAGUCUGACUCACCACUGUCAGUAAAUUUCAGUUUACGGUGAAACAGAGGAGUAAAUUCCAUGAAACUGAUGAAAGUUAUACUAAAAUGCUUGUGUAUAAAGCUCUAUUUUCUUUGCAUUUUCUGUAUAUUAAUAAAGAAUAGUCUGCUAAUACUUUACAAAAGGAGAAGUUUUUUUAGUUGAUUGGGAAUUUAUUGACGCUGAAAUUCACUGCAAAUAUUUUGUGUGAACAGGAAGAAGCAGCAGCACCAAUUAGCUUGCAGCCCAAAUGCACAGUAAAGGAAAAGGAGUUGCAAAACAUGGACACCUGGGAUCAUUUUCUGGCUACUGAAGUGCACAUAGCAGCCAAACCCUCUUACUGCCUUCUCUUUCCAUCAUCCUGCACUGGUCUCCCCAUACUUACAGAAUGAGCUAGUAGUUUAUCACUUGGGAGCCACUGAAAUUGACUUUGAUCAAGCUGUAGAGACAAGGUAUACUUCUUGACCCUUCGCUGUUCCCGAGCACUGUUUAUCAGGAAGAUUUGUUUUUCAUUAAAGCCGAGUAAGACCAGCUAACAAUAGGAAUGAGUUUUUUUCCCAGGUUGACUCACAGCUGCUGUUAUCUAGUCCAAAGAUGACAUUUUCAAGUUGCUUCUAAAUAUCAUGAGGAAGAUGGUUCCUUUUUAGUUUCCUUAGAGCCUCAUCUAUUUAGAAUAAAUAGCAAAUGUGCCAAACAGUUUGUUCAAAAGGAAUUAUAAUGAAUAGUACCACUUUCUGUGUUCUUAUGCAGAGCCAAAAAGUGCAGCUUCUUCCAUUCCUUUGCAAGUUCCAAUUCAGCACCAAAGUAGCUAGGCAGUAGAUAAUAGAUCAUCGUGGUCUCAAAGUGCUCAGAAGUGGCAUGUAGAGACCAGAGUGUCUUGUCUCGUCCUUCACCAGAUAAGGAACAGGUGAAAAAGUAGCUCUUAAGUCUGCGAGAUGGGCUACUGCUGCUUCUCUCUGACCGCACGGGGAUUCCACAGGACCUGAGGAGCCCAGGAGCUGUACUUCAUUUCCUCUUGAACAAUGCUGACUAGAAAGCUGCACCUGUCAGCAAAAAGGGAAUGCCAGACUCAAGAGCUGUCACUGGGAGGAAAAAGAUGAUUAGAUGGAUUCAUUGACCACUCAAAAUGAAGAGGCUAUGCAUACUCCACAGUUCACUUCUGGCCCAUUCCUUGGACUGCGUAAGUUUUCUCCAGUGCAAGAUCUUUUCCUCCAAGAAGGAUCAUUCUCUGCUGAAGUGGCCUUCCACUAUGGUACAGAAUAGUUUAAAUGCUUCAGAAGAGUACUGGUCAGGGGCAGGCCUAGUUACCUGACUCCGUAAUUCCCUUGAUGCUUGAAAGUCAUGAGGCCAAAAGGCUGAAACGCAAUCAAGUGUAAACAAAGCACUUAGGGGAAAUCUUAAAGGCUAUUUGGGAACCACUUUUCGGGAUAGUAGUGAGUCCUCCUUUCAGCCCCAUGCACAACAAAAGAAAAACUGCCUUGUGGCCAGAAAGUUAAUACAUAUGCUGCAAGGGGAUUUCAGACUUUAAUAUGAGAAACAUGUAGUGCUUCCUUUUAGUAUGAGAUAUGAGUAGCUAUCUCAUGAAAGAAAAAUGAUGUUUUACUCUUUCCUGGAAUAUAUAGUUCCUUAAUGACGUGACUAAGUUAUGAUCACAUUUCCAAAACACAUUCUUAAAAUUUGCUAAAUGGCAUAAAAUGUAUGGUAUUUGUCUUGUAUUCAAAGAUUUUUUGUACAUUGAGAUUUGUACUAUCAAUUGGUGAAACUUAAUUUUUCACAAGAUAAGAGCUGGCUUAUGGCAGGCAUAUUGUGAAUAUGAAUGUAUUUGCCUGUCUGUUACUUGACCUUAUAUAGUAAAACUGCAGCUAUUUCCUCAGAUGGUGAGGGACAGCCACAGAAGAAUGCAGUCAGUUUGUGGUUAUGGAUUAGGCAAAGGGUAUUCUGAAAAACAGGAUGCUCAACAGUCACACAUUUACAUGAAUGGUGUCAUAUUUCAAAUCUAAUUUUCAGUAAGACAGAAGUCCUCAGAGAAGAUGACUGGAGGCAGACAUUUUGGCAGUCCCAACUGAUCAACUGGAUUUCUUGAGCAUAAAAAACAUGAAAAUAAGAAUUAAUAAUAUUACUUGAAGUGGAAAUGAAAAA
This is a non-coding RNA of Struthio camelus australis, 3882 nucleotides long. The record is from RefSeq and is a predicted model, not a curated record. NCBI's taxonomy places the organism in Eukaryota, Metazoa, Chordata, Aves, Struthioniformes, Struthionidae.